UUGGUCUCAAGAGCAGAGGACAGGCCUUGGUCCAUUGCAUUCAUCAGUAUCAAUGCAGCCACUGGGAUCCAGUGAAUAAUCCUUAUGCUCAAAGCUAAGGAUUGACUCAGGAAGUGAAAUAAUCCCAGAAAGAGGUGAAUACACAUGGAAUAGAAUUGCUCCUGUGAGAAAAAAGCAGCAACAGGACUCCUUUCUUUCCAAUUCAAAUGUGACUUCCAUCCACAUUUUGAAAAGGCAAUUCCACCCAGGGAUCCCUCAGAAUGAAUGAGCUGAAACUGAAAGGCUACCCUGUGGUGGAGUCAGCAUUCCUGGAAGUAUUUCAAAGAGGUGUAGAUGUGGCACUUACGGACAUAGUUUAGUGAUGGCCUUGGCAGUGAUACAUUAAAGGAUACAUUUGAAAGUGCAAUUGCAUUGAAAUAUGUCAGGAUCAUCCUUCAACCUUUCUACAGGAUGAAAACCGGGCAACCUCCUCUUGCUCUAACCAAAGAGUGCUUAUUCAGCAGUGGUAUGUGCAAGAGAAACUAAGCUCAACCAAAGGAGGAAACUGAAAGAAACCCCAGAAUGAUAUCAAUCAGACAAGACAUGAGCAACCCGAAGAAGAGCACUCCUUGUACUGACAAAGUGGAAAUAGCAUCUCUCCAAACACACUGGCUCAAUGAGCCUUGGUUUUGAUGACCCUAUGCCUUUUUGGCCUUCUGGUUUAACUGUGGGUAACCCUGAAGACCUUUUAAUUCUCUUGGUUGUUUAAAGAGGCUUCAUGAAAACAUGACAUCUCAUAUAUAGAGAUAGGUGUUAUUGAGUGAAAGAUUCCAUUUGCCAGGAGUCUACUACAGUAAGAUCCUAAAGAAUUAAAAAAAUGGAAAGAGUCGGUAAGGUUUUAGUGGAAUUUGAUAGGAGGCCCCAUACAAAUAUCCAGAUGAAACUCUAGCCAAUUAUUCUGUGCUGAAUAUUAUGCCCUGAUGAAAAUAAAAUACCUGAGUUUAAUCUUUCAUUCAGAGUAAAGAUUUGUAGUAUAAUGACCUGAUUUAGCUGAAAAAAGGAAAAAAUAAGUAAGUCUGACAGCUGAGAACAGAAGGGGGAUUAAUCUCAAAAGCUGCUAGUCUUUGUUUCCCAUGCUUUCAUUAUUAUUCAAUCAGAGCAAAGAAAGGACUAGCUGCCCUGACACAGCUCCAAUUGCACUGCUCAGAGAAAGGGAGAGGUAUGGUGGAGAGGGAGAGAUUUCAUUAUUUACAGACUGGGGAACUGAGAAGAAAAUAGAGAGAAAAGGAGCCAUUUGGUCCAUCUUUAGGUCUGCCUGAAGCUUUGGGCAAAAGCAGGCUGAGAGUCAUCAGCAGGUGCAGCAAAGGCAGAUGGAGGGGGCAGAACUAAGGGCCUGGUAUUUCUGGGGGGAAGAAAUGUUCAGAAGAAUGAAGUAACUGGAAAAUCACCUAGAUUUUCUGACUGCUUAUGACUCAGUACUGCUUAUGAUGAAGGUACCCACUAGUCAAGACAUCCUCUCAGAGAAAAGGCUCGUUGUUCAAUAUAAUCUGUGGAGAUAUAAGACCUUACCUGUAACCUUUUCAGUUUAAAAAUGAAGAAACGGGUUACGACACCCAAGCCCAAGUCUGCAGAUGGUACUGAAAAUCACUCUUUUCAAGAUGGAAAUGAACUACAGAACUGGGAUACUGUUUGGGGGAAAAACCCAUAAUCUCCUGUGGUGUACAGAAUUUGGGUGGCAUCUUCUGUAAGCUUUUGUGAAAUAUCUAACAUAACAAUAUGAUGAGAAGAAGUGGCUGAACUGCUGUCAGGGCAAGAAUGUGUCUGUAAACAAACCAGAAAAUUUGGUGGGUAUCUAGUGAACAGAGUUAUGUGUAUUGCAGCUUUGCCAUCUUCCUGUUACGAAAAAAGUUCUCAACAAACAAUAUUAGAAUUAAACAUUCUUAUUUUCUUUCCCUACUAUUUUAUGUUAGGAAUUGGAACUUUAUUUUUAAAACCCCAAUAUAAGGAAGAAAUAACAGUAAUGAGGUUAGAUUUGAUAAUUUCAUAUAAAUGAUGGACAGGAUCCCACAUGCAUUUGAAAUAAAACUGAUUGAAAUUCAUUCUGGUUGUCUCCCAUUAAUCUUAAUUGUAAUUCUCUAUUUCAUUUUAAUAGGUUGCUAGACUUUGGGAAGCUGUGUUAUUGUUCUUAUGUACUUGAUUGGUUUUUUAUUCAUGAAGUUUUUGUGAGUUCUGCAUGUGGAAAGGAACAGGGACACUGCCGUUUUCUCUAAGGGUGUUUAUAGGCCAAGCAGUGUUGCUGUGAUUCAAAGCAUGCAGGGAAAAUGCAGAAAGUUCUGCUAAAGAGCAGAUUUCUGUACCUGUGAUAAAUUUGAUGGAGGGCUUUUGUUUGUAGUAUCACUUUUAAAACAAAAGUAGAUCUUUCUGUCCACAAAGAACAGGGUACUGGUAAAACAAACUAACCAAAUGGCUCAUGCAUUCCUUCAGAAAGCUGCACUCACAUUUUCAAUGUCCAGAAGGAAGACUUGGCAUUUGUAAUGCAGCACCUGGAAGGACAAAAAUUUCACCCUUUCUGCUUUCACUGACUUCAAGGAGACUCAAGUGUUCUCCAUACCUUGCAGGAUUGAAUCCUUUGUAAACUUGCUCAUGAUUAAUAUAUGUUAUGAAUAUCUAUUAAAUGUUACAGUAGGUUGAUAACACCCAGCCAUAUCACUCAUUUAUUAAAAGAAACCGUUCAGUCAAAGACUGAGCAGGGAGGUGAGAGAGCAACUCAGCUGUACUUAGAUUGAUGAUACUUCUAAAAAUUGUCCAAGCAUGUGUGCAAGAACCUGUCAAAGUAAGAGUUUAAUAAAUGAGAAAGUGAAGGACAGGUAACUUUCCCAAUAUACAAAAGUUGUGCACAUGCAUGUGCAUGCUUCAUUUGUUCCCUGCUUCCUAGCAGGUAAACAACACAGAAAGAGAGUCUCUUUGCCAUUUCUGAGCUAGAUUGUCUGGAAAAGAAAUUUGCCAAGUCAGUUAUUACUGGGGCUGCAGCAGCAUGCUGCGUGGCAUCACUGAAAGCUGCUUUUGCAUCAGCAGAUUUCCACGUCUUGCCUGCCAGUCCAAGAACCUGCUCUGGUCUUCUGGGCAGCACAGACCACAGCAGGAUUUGCCCCUGGGAGUACAGGUGGCUUCUGAAGAGAGAGGGAGGAUGAGGAAACAGGGAGAGAUGCAGACCAGAGACAGGGGAGCAGUUGAGCCUGUGGAGUUGCCUGCUCCAGGCAGUCCCACCCUUCUUCCACAGUGACAGCAUCAGUCCUGAUUUUGUAGGAAAUUUCCACUUUUCAGAGUUGCCCAAGUCAAUUACUGAUUUUGCUUUCCCUGUUUAUGCCAGAAUUGGUAAAGUACCAUAGCACUAUCAAAUUCUCAAAGGCAACAGGAUAUGUUAGAUAUCAAAACAUUUUCCUCCCUACUGAUAAUCUGGAGUAACUUGUGAUCUAUAUUUGGUAAACUAGAUGUUUAAUACAUUUUGAAAAAGAAUGUGCCUGAUACAAGUAUUGGAAACUACCUUUAGCUACUUGCCUGAUGUGGAACCAUCAUUUUAACUCCAGGCUUUGAUCGUGUGAGUCUCUGAGAGCAAACUAUAAAGCACUUGGAAAGAGCAGUCAAGCAGAAAAGGAUUGUUGGCUGAGAAGUUCUUAGUGUUUGAGCACUUCAUAAAGAGCCUUUUCUGUGCAGUCAUCGGCUUUCAUUUCUCCCUCAUUGCUACAGAAGCUAUUCCAUUUGUAAUUACAGUAAGGGGUUUGACACAGCCCACAUUUCUAAUAAACUGCUACAAUGCUUCUUUAUCAGCUAGUUUUUUUCACUGUUAACCUCUUGUUUCACAGCAUAAUUCAUAUGUAACACUGCUGCCAGGUUACUGAGUAAAUGUCUGGGAGUACUACCUCCUCUGUAUUCCACAUUGUCAAUUUGACAUUAUCAGUACUUAUAUGGUUGCAGCUUGGGCAUGUUUGCUUAGUAAGUGGGCUGUGGAUUUUCUGUGGUAAAAUGUGGUAUUGCUAGAUCUUGGGAAGCCAGGACUUUCUGGAAUAAAAUUGCAAAUGCUGAGUGGCCUUUCUUUGCCUUAAUGCCUCUUUUUGACACUGUGGUUGAUAUCUGGUAUCUGAUUUAGUAUGAUGUGUUAGGUGGCUGACUGGAGUUGCUGCCCUCCAGAUGUUUGUGAUUAUUUGUGCUCUAGUGUGUGUACGAUAAAAAGCGCUGUGGAAGCUGGCUGGUUAACCUUGGCAUUUACUGCCCUUUAAAAGGGGAAGGAUGCUGUCAGGGCCAUAAGAGCACCCAAAUGCCUCUGCUGCCAUUAUCACCCAUGCAUGCCCUGCCUAUGGAUAAAGAGUUCCAGUUUGGUACAGGUCCCCCUCUGCCCGGACUGAGAAAUGUUGAGGGUUGCUCGGAGUCUUUCUGUGUUGACUUCCUGAUGGGAUUUUCUGGAGGGAUCUCAAACCUAUGCUCCAGUCAGGUCCCCAUCCCUGUCUCCUCUCGUUCCCAAAAAGAUCUU
This is a long non-coding RNA of Prinia subflava (tawny-flanked prinia), 4507 nucleotides long. RefSeq lists it as uncharacterized. The transcript is spliced from 10 exons. NCBI's taxonomy places the organism in Eukaryota, Metazoa, Chordata, Aves, Passeriformes, Cisticolidae. The record is from RefSeq and is a predicted model, not a curated record.